This 340-nucleotide long non-coding RNA is filed under the name Monodelphis domestica (gray short-tailed opossum). RNAcentral describes it as "lncRNA (ENSMODG00000039557.1)". Lineage: Eukaryota; Metazoa; Chordata; Mammalia; Didelphimorphia; Didelphidae. The record is from RNAcentral.
UUUCCAUCUGUAAUGAUUGUUUAAUGACUAUUUAAAAAGUGCCGCCUGAGGUCUUCUAAUCACCCAAUUUUUAUUAAGCUCUCAAGGAAAUCACACAGAUGAGGAAACUGAGGCUCCUAUGGGAGGAAUCCCAUACUAGGGCACUGUAGGGAGACACAACACCCAAGAAAUAUUGUGUCUCCAAGCAAGGAUCUUGAGGGGCAGUGACAACAGAAGAAACUUACUUAGAUUUUUAGAUGUACCUCAGUUUCAUCCCUGUGAAUAUUCCUUCCACCUAUGCAGCUUACAAUCUAGUCACACCUUCUCUGAUGUAAUUUCUGGUCCAUUCUACAGCUUUUGA